GGAGAGGUGGCCGAGCCUGGUUUAAGGCGCCGGUCUCGAAAAUCGGUUCCUGCCUUUGGUGGGACGGGAGUUCAAAUCUCCCCCUCUCCG
This 90-nucleotide transfer RNA is filed under the name Candidatus Omnitrophota bacterium. RNAcentral describes it as "Candidatus Omnitrophica bacterium tRNA-Ser". It matches the Rfam family "tRNA". From Rfam's summary of the family: Transfer RNA (tRNA) molecules are approximately 80 nucleotides in length. Their secondary structure includes four short double-helical elements and three loops (D, anti-codon, and T loops). Lineage: Bacteria; Pseudomonadati; Candidatus Omnitrophota. The record is from RNAcentral.